AAGUCGUAACAAGGUUUCCGUAGGUGAACCUGCGGAAGGAUCAUUAACGUAUCUCUGACGGGGGGCUGGUGGCCCUGCUCCGGUUCCGACCGUGCAGCGGGCCCCGUUCCCUGGACACACUACAAACCCACCUGUGCACCUUUCGCGGUUGGGAGGACGUGGCGCGAGCCCGUCCGAACCCGCGCUCACAAACGCUAGUCUUAAGAAUGUCGAGCGGACUCUGUUCCGACCACAAAUGUAACAACUUUCAACAACGGAUCUCUUGGCUCUC
This 271-nucleotide unclassified non-coding RNA is filed under the name air metagenome. Its description in RNAcentral is "partial contains small subunit ribosomal RNA, internal transcribed spacer 1, and 5.8S ribosomal RNA". The stretch from base 1 to 46 matches the Rfam family "Eukaryotic small subunit ribosomal RNA", at positions 1786 to 1831 of the family's 1831-position model. The record is from RNAcentral.